This is a long non-coding RNA of Artibeus jamaicensis (Jamaican fruit-eating bat), 2037 nucleotides long. RefSeq lists it as uncharacterized. The transcript has 2 exons. Lineage: Eukaryota; Metazoa; Chordata; Mammalia; Chiroptera; Phyllostomidae. The record is from RefSeq and is a predicted model, not a curated record.
GAUCCUCCGGGAGCUGCGCUUCGCCCGGCUCCUUCCACUGCAACGCUCGGGCUUCUCUAAGCCCUUUGGUGGCUCAACGAUACCCACUGAAUGAGCUACCGCCGCUUAUCCGGUUACCACUCGACAGGCGCUCCCUCGAAUAUUCAUGUCAAGGGCCGUGUUGUUCACUUGCUAAAAAUUCUACUUUGACGACAAUGACCAACGAUAUUUCCCACGUGAAAGGCUGUGGAUUGGCCGACCAGGGGCAGCCGACCUUUGUCAUGGUGACGACCUCCGCAGCCACCCACAGGCACGUUCCCAAGAGUCAACUCCCCUGGGAAGGGGCCCAAACAACCCCACUGAAGGCUAGCUGCCGUUUUACAAAGAGCAUCUGGCGAACCUUCUGGUGAACUGAGCCACAGAUUUGCUGACAAGCACAUCCGUUUGGACCCGGGAACCAGUUACCAGAUGCUAAAGCCCACCCUGGGUUCAGUGAAGUUCCAAAAAGUGGAAAGAAUUCCUUAGCUUGGUGGAAACGCCGGGUUGGGACAUUCCUUUGGCCACUUUAGCUGACAGCUGCAUACCUCUGGGGCUAACGCAUCCUCACUCCGGUCCUCUGCCUCGGAGCUGCCCAGGAGACGGGAGAGGUCUGCCAGCCCCCAUCGGGCCCCUGUGCCCAGCCACGCCUGGCCCAGCCCAAGGCUGCGCCCUGGGGGAAAAUGCAGCCCCGGGACCGAGGCUGAGACUGGGACCGCAGCAUCCCUCCAACUCUUCUCACGUUGGCAGCUGAGCAGGUAACGGCCUACUUAGGAGGGCUGGCUGGUCGGUUACCACCACGUCCAGGGAAAUGGGGGAAACUUUUACCCUGUAAAAUGAGACGGUAGUCAGUGUGACACAGUGCAGUGACCUCCAAGGGCCAUUCUUGCAAGCCGGGACACCCUCCCUGUAGGAAAUGGAAAAGCUGACCCGGCCUUUUCUGCUAGGAUCCUCAUGGUCUUGGCCAUUUUCCUGCAACAGCUUGUAUUUAAUUCCUUGUUUUAUUUGGCAAAGAGCAAAUGAGGAAAACAAGGGUAUUAAUAAUGAUGAUCGACAUUUGAACUUCCUGGGUACAACAUGUUCUUGUACCCAAGUGGUGAAUAGAAUUUUUUAAAAAGAUUACUUGCGUGUUAUUUGCCACCAACUUAAAUCAUGCAGUUUCCUUUGUCCCAGAAAACCCAUUUCUGUCCCUGUGGCAUUUGAAUGGACUCUUCCUUCCUUCUCUAAUUCUGGCCUUGCGGAGGUUGGAUGUCGUCAAAGGACUUGAUUUCUGCCUCCUGCCGCGCCCGCCCCAGAGCUGGGGCGCGCCAGUGGGAGACACAGCAGCGGGCAAGGGAAGCGACCCGACGGUGACCUGUGUUCCGUCAGCGAAAGGCUCCUGCUCUUCGGCAACUCAAAUGCCACGAAUCCGGUCGUCUCUCCGGCUUCGUGGUAACCCCCAACUGCCGUGGUCUUGAAUAGUGACAUUCAGCUCUCAGUCUGGCGGCCACUGAUGGCCCCCUGUCCCCAUCCGCCCUUCAUCAGGAAGGUGGGGUGUCCACAGGAGCCAGGGUGCUGGGAGGACAGGACUCCCUGGAGAAGUGUCCCACGGGUGCUACCACGUAUGGGCUGUGAGCUCUGGAAUCAAAUUCUCGGGCGUCUCAAAGUUCACUGGAGCAUGAAAGGCCAAAGCAGCCCCAUUUGCUGUUGUGGCACCAUUUGCCCAGCAGGCCUGUGACCUGGUUAAAUGUGACUGACACUUUACUCUCCUGAGCUUGUGUCCCCAGGACUGGAAGUGACGGGAAGCAGGAACAGAACCGAUGACUCCCUACAGCCACAGGCGGAAGAUAACAUCGGAGCAAACUGCAGCCUCCGUUCCCGCGCCCCACCAGCCAGGGGCCACACAGCCGCGACCCCACCCUUUGUAAAUCCCAUUUAACCCACUAGAAGCCCAAAGCCCCCACCCCUCAGUGCCUGCGUCUCUCCCUGCGUGGAGCCCCCGUCCCUUCUGUGAGAGGGAAUAAAAACUAUACUCUCCUCGCU